UAAGACGAACCGUGCGAACGUUGUUCGGAAUCACUGGGCUUAAAGGGCGCGUAGGCGGGCGGCCGCGUCCGGGGUGAAAUCCCGCCGCUCAACGGCGGAACGGCCUCGGAUACGGGCGGCCUCGAGGGGGGUAGGGGCGUGCGGAACUCUGGGUGGAGCGGUGAAAUGCGUUGAUAUCCAGAGGAACUCCGGUGGCGAAGGCGGCACGCUGGACCCCUUCUGACGCUGAGGCGCGAAAGCCAGGGGAGCGAACGGGAUUAGAUACCCCGGUAGUCCUGGCCCUAAACGAUGGGGACUAGGUAGCGGCCCGGACAUGGGGUCGCUGCCGGAGCCAAAGUGCUAAGUCCCCCGCCUGGGGAGUAUGGCCGCAAGGCUG
RNAcentral lists this ribosomal RNA (376 nucleotides) under uncultured bacterium. RNAcentral describes it as "bacterial SSU rRNA". It matches the Rfam family "Bacterial small subunit ribosomal RNA", at positions 521 to 896 of the family's 1533-position model. The record is from RNAcentral.